UGUUUCCCAGUAGAGAACACACGGACAAAUACUGUAGAUAUGGCUCAUAGUCUCUUGGUGGUAUCUGACAGUAAUGUAGGAACGUUUAUUAUUAUAAUUUCGGCUUGUCAGUUUGGAUAACACCACCAACAACAUUAGCUGUUAACUUUAUAUCAUUUAGAUGAGAUUUUAUUACAGUACAACUUAUCGACAUGACUUUCUAUUUGGACACGUAGACACCACAAGCAACACCAUCAGGCCAGCAGAGACGCAUCGUCCCUCCAUGUGUCUUGGGUCUACUUCUGGGUCUCCUCCCGGUGGGACGUGUCCAGAACCUCCGCCACUGGCUCGUGUCAAUGUGGAGAAGCAGCAGCUCUACUCUGAGUCCCUCCCGGAUGACCAAGCUUCACCCCGUCUCCUGUCUCUAAGGGAGAGUCCAGACCAGGGGCGGAGAUAUGGGUGGGGGUUGCCUCCCGGCCCCGAGAGGUGCCUGGGAGGGAGGAAUGGUUUCAAGUCACUUUAAUAUCUGAUUACAGAGAGAAAAAGCGCAGAGGAGGGUUGGACCGCAUCUCGACCAGUAAAUUGUGAGCUUGGCUGAAGCUCCCUCUUCAGCCUAACAAACCGGGACUGAGUCCACAUCACUACAGACCCAGCACAAUUGAUCAAUUAUCCCCUCCAUUUUCCCCCCUCAUUCAUGAACUGGAGAUACUUAAACUCAAGCGACUUCAGAUCAUUUAAGUAUCAGCAGAACUGAAGGUCAUCGGCAACUCAAGGAGAAUCGGUUUGUUCAUCACUAAGGCAGAAUAUUUUUCUGCUAACAGAGUAAAAAGAAACAUGAACACAAAUAGAAUGAAGAACAAAAAGACAUUUAAAAGUUUUAAGAUUCACCUGUUGUUACUUAAUGGAGAAGAGUCAAAGUGAAUGGGUGAUAAUGAGUCAAUUAUAUUAAUUGCAUAUCAUGUGCCUGGAUCAAAUGUAGUCAUAUUCAAUAAAUUAGAAUAUGGAUUCUGAUUAAUCUCAUUUGUAAGAUUAAACAUAUUUGUCAUUAGUCCCACAAUUCUGCAUUAACAUUUAUUUUAUUGGUCUGAUGUAACAUUCUAAUCUUGAAUGUCAUGUUUCCAUUAGUUUUAAAAAGUAAAUCAUCAUAAUUAGCUGAAAUUGACCUUUAAAUUAAAUCAUUAAACUUGUGUUUUACUUGUGAGCUGAGUUACUGAAAUACAUUUUCUUAAUAUUCUAAUUUAUUGAAUAAGACUGUCAUUCUACAUUGAGUUAUGCAAGAAAUGUACACUAGAUGGCACUAUUGCUUUGAGAAAUGUAUGCCACAGGACGUGCAAAGCACAAGAAUGACACGACAAAGAAACUUAUGUGAUAUCUUCUCUCCCGAGACUUGAGAUCCAACAUUUAAUAAGAAUAUUAAUAUUGGCUCCAUACGUGCUUCUAAAAUUUCUAAUUAAUUAAACAAAAAAGAAAAUUCAACAUCAGCUUUAUACAUUAUGCUUGAAAUGCUCUCUAGUGUAUUUACACCAAAAUAUACAAACAUGAACCAUAAGGAGGUGCUAGAAGACUUUUAGUAGAAGUCUGGGGAUUCUGAAUCAAUGACUGAUGAAAGCAUUACAGUCAUGGGCAUUGCAUUCUAGGCUUUUACACAUUUUACACACAUCCCAAGUUUUAUUGUUGUACUUGUUUUGGUUUUUUUUAACAAACUUUUCUGUUUUGGCUGUUUAAUGACUAUUGAUACAAUGUAGUCUGUGAUGCGUGAAACUUUGAACACCUGAUAGUAAACAGAAAAUAAUUACACAAUGA
Long non-coding RNA from Poecilia latipinna (sailfin molly), 1782 nucleotides. RefSeq lists it as uncharacterized. The transcript is spliced from 2 exons. The record is from RefSeq and is a predicted model, not a curated record. Lineage: Eukaryota; Metazoa; Chordata; Actinopteri; Cyprinodontiformes; Poeciliidae.